This 1803-nucleotide long non-coding RNA is filed under the name Oncorhynchus mykiss (rainbow trout). Its description in RNAcentral is "lncRNA (ENSOMYG00000067371.1)". The record is from RNAcentral. Lineage: Eukaryota; Metazoa; Chordata; Actinopteri; Salmoniformes; Salmonidae.
AUGUGGACACCUCCUAGUGGUCUGGUUGUUAAGAGUGUUUAUCAGACCAUGUGGACACCUCCUAGUGGUCUGGUUGUUAGGAGAGUUUAUCAGACCACGUGGACACCUCCUAGUGGUCUGGUUGUUAGGAGUGUUUAUCAGACAAUGUGGACAUCUCCUAGUGGUGGGGUUGUUAGGAGUGUUUAUCAGACCUUGUGGACACCUCCUAGUGGUCUGGUUGUUAGGAGUGUUUAUCAGACCAUGUGGACACCUCCUAGUGGUGGGGUUGUUAGGAGUGUUUAUCAGACCAUGUGGACACCUCCUAGUGGUGGGGUUGUUAGGAGUGUUAAUCAGACCAUGUGGACACCUCCUAGUGGUCUGGUUGUUAGGAGUGUUUAUCAGACCAUGUGGACACCUCCUAGUGGUGGGGUUGGUAGGAGUGUUUAUCAGACCAUGUGGACACCUCCUAGUGGUCUGGUUGUUAUGAGUGUUUAUCAGACCAUGUGGACACCUCCUAGUGGUCUGGUUGUUAUGAGUGUUUAUCAGACCAUGUGGACACCUCCUAGUGGUCUGGUUGUUAGGUGUGUUUAUCAGACCAUGUGGACACCUCCUAGUGGUCUGGUUGUUAUGAGUGUUUAUCAGACCAUGUGGACACCUCCUCGUGGUCUGGUUGUUAGGUGUGUUUAUCAGACCAUGUGGACACCUCCUAGUGGUGGGGUUGUUAGGAGUGUUUAUCAGACCAUGUGGACACCUCCUAGUGGUCUGGUUGUUAGGUGUGUUUAUCAGACCAUGUGGACACCUCCUAGUGGUGGGGUUGUUAGGAGUGUUUAUCAGACCAUGUGGACACCUCCUAGUGGUCUGGUUGUUAGGAGUGUUUAUCGGACCUUGUGGACACCUCCUAGUGGUCUGGUUGUUAGGAGUGUUUAUCAGACCAUGUGGACACCUCCUAGUGGUGGGGUUGUUAGGAGUGUUUAUCAGACCAUGUGGACACCUCCAAGUGGUGGGGUUGUUAGGAGUGUUUAUCAGACCAUGUGGACACCUCCUAGUGGUCUGGUUGUUAGGAGUGUUUAUCAGACCAUGUGGACACCUCCUAGUGGUGGGGUUGUUAGGAGUGUUUAUCAGACCAUGUGGACACCUCCUAGUGGUGGGGUUGUUAGAAGUGUUAAUCAGACCAUGUGGACACCUCCUAGUGGUGGGGUUGUUAGGAGUGUUAAUCAGACCAUGUGGACACCUCCUAGUGGUGGGUUGUUAGGAGUGUUUAUCAGACCAUGUGGACACCUCCUAGUGGUCUGGUUGUUAGGAGUGUUUAUCAGACCAUGUGGACACCUCCUAGUGGUCUGGUUGUUAGGAGUGUUUAUAAGACCAUGUGGACACCUCCUAGUGGUGGGUUUGUUAGGAGUGUUUAUCAGACCAUGUGGACACCUCCUAGUGGUCUGGUUGUUAGGAGUGUUUAUCAGACCAUGUGGACACCUCCUAGUGGUGGGGUUGUUAGGAGUGUUUAUCAGACCAUGUGGACACCUCCUAGUGGUGGGGUUGUUAGGAGUGUUUAUCAGACCAUGUGGACACCUCCUAGUGGUCUGGUUGUUAGGAGUGUUUAUCAGACCAUGUGGACACCUCCUAGUGGUGGGGUUGUUAGGAGUGUUUAUCAGACCAUGUGGACACCUCCUAGUGGUCUGGUUGUUAGGUGUGUUUAUCAGACCAUGUGGACACCUCCUAGUGGUCUGGUUGUUAGGAGUGUUUAUCAGACCAUGUGGACACCUCCUAGUGGUGGGGUUGUUAGGAGUGUUUAUCAGACCAUGUGGACACCUCCUAGUGGUCUGGUAG